UACGUAGGGUGCGAGCGUUAAUCGGAAUUACUGGGCGUAAAGCGUGCGCAGGCGGUUUUGUAAGCCAGAUGUGAAAGCCCGGGGCUUAACUCCGGGUCUGCAUUCGAUACGGGUCUGCUGGGGUCCGGCAGGGGAGACUGGAAUUCCUGGUGUAGCGGUGAAAUGCGCAGAUAUCAGGAGGAACACCGGUGGCGAAGGCGGGUCUCUGGGCCGGUACCGACGCUGAGGAGCGAAAGCGUGGGGAGCGAACAGG
RNAcentral lists this ribosomal RNA (253 nucleotides) under uncultured bacterium. RNAcentral describes it as "partial 16S ribosomal RNA". It matches the Rfam family "Bacterial small subunit ribosomal RNA", at positions 524 to 776 of the family's 1533-position model. The record is from RNAcentral.